AUGUCUCCCAGGGACGUUUUGGAAGAAAAAAAAAGUGAAAAUACCAUCACAGUAAAAGUAGGAAUGGUUGGAGAUGGAUCUACAGGAAAGACAUGCCUUAUGAAGCGAUAUGUUAAUAAUCAGUUUGAUGAAGACUAUAACUUAACUAUGGGUGUAAAUUUUCUGGAAAAGAAAAUUCGAUUUAGAAAUACUGUUGUAACUUUUUCAAUUUGGGAUUUAGGAGGAAAUCGUGAGUUCUCCAACAUGCUUGGCCUCGUGGUAAAAGAAGCUACUGCCGUUUUAUUUAUUUUUGAUUUAACUCGAAGAGCAACACUUGCCAGUAUACGCGAAUGGUAUAAAAAUUCUACUAAACUUCAAAAGAACUUUUUUCCGCUAUUAGUGGGCACUAAAUAUGAUUUGUUUGCUGGACUCGACGAGGAAACUCGCGUGGAAACGCUGCACGGAGCGCGGAAAUUUGCUAAAGCGAUGGGAGGCGCUCCGCUUAUUUUUUGCUCAUCUAAAUUAAAUAUUAAUUGUGAUGCCAUUUUCAAGAUUGUAUUUAGUUUAACGUUUAA
This is a long non-coding RNA of Zophobas morio, 554 nucleotides long. RefSeq lists it as uncharacterized. Lineage: Eukaryota; Metazoa; Arthropoda; Insecta; Coleoptera; Tenebrionidae. The transcript is spliced from 7 exons. The record is from RefSeq and is a predicted model, not a curated record.